GUUCCUGGCUCAGGAUGAACGCUAGCUACAGGCUUAACACAUGCAAGUCGAGGGGCAGCAUGAACUUAGCUUGCUAAGUUUGAUGGCGACCGGCGCACGGGUGAGUAACACGUAUCCAACCUGCCGAUGACUCGGGGAUAGCCUUUCGAAAGAAAGAUUAAUACCCGAUGGCAUAGUUCUUCCGCAUGGUAGAACUAUUAAAGAAUUUCGGUCAUCGAUGGGGAUGCGUUCCAUUAGGUUGUUGGG
This 246-nucleotide ribosomal RNA is filed under the name uncultured bacterium. RNAcentral describes it as "partial 16S ribosomal RNA". It matches the Rfam family "Bacterial small subunit ribosomal RNA", at positions 15 to 253 of the family's 1533-position model. The record is from RNAcentral.